GAGCGGCGAACGGGUGAGUAACACGUGAGCAACCUACCCUCAACUUCGGGAUAAGCCUCGGAAACGGGGUCUAAUACCGGAUAUCAUCUCGCGCUUCAUGGUGUGGGGUUGAAAGUUCUGGCGGUUGGGGAUGGGCUCGCGGCCUAUCAGCUUGUUGGUGGGGUAAUGGCCUACCAAGGCGUCGACGGGUAGCCGGCCUGAGAGGGCGACCGGCCACACUGGGACUGAGACACGGCCCAGACUCCUACGGGAGGCAGCAGUGGGGAAUAUUGCGCAAUGGACGAAAGUCUGACGCAGCAACGCCGCGUGAGGGAUGACGGCCUUCGGGUUGUAAACCUCUUUCAGCAGGGACGAAGCGAAAGUGACGGUACCUGCAGAAGAAGGACCGGCCAACUACGUGCCAGCAGCCGCGGUAAUACGUAGGGUCCGAGCGUUGUCCGGAAUUAUUGGGCGUAAAGGGCUCGUAGGCGGUUCGUCACGUCGGGAGUGAAAACUCGGAGCUUAACUCCGAGCCUGCUUCCGAUACGGGCAGACUAGAGGUAGGCAGGGGAGAGCGGAACUNCU
RNAcentral lists this ribosomal RNA (564 nucleotides) under Kribbella sp. 340G06. RNAcentral describes it as "bacterial SSU rRNA". It matches the Rfam family "Bacterial small subunit ribosomal RNA", at positions 93 to 671 of the family's 1533-position model. Lineage: Bacteria; Bacillati; Actinomycetota; Actinomycetes; Propionibacteriales; Kribbellaceae. The record is from RNAcentral.